This 264-nucleotide unclassified non-coding RNA is filed under the name fungal sp. RNAcentral's name for it is "partial internal transcribed spacer region". The stretch from base 1 to 46 matches the Rfam family "Eukaryotic small subunit ribosomal RNA", at positions 1786 to 1831 of the family's 1831-position model. The record is from RNAcentral. Lineage: Eukaryota; Fungi.
AAGUCGUAACAAGGUUUCCGUAGGUGAACCUGCGGAAGGAUCAUUAACGAGUUUGAACUGGGUUGUUCUGGCUCUUCGGAGCAUGUGCACGCCCUCUCAAUCCACACACACCUGUGAACUUGUGGGGAGAACAAUGAAGGUGACGCUGGUAAAACGGCUGAUCCCUCGUUCUCUCUUAUUUUUACAUCCAACUACAAAGUUAUAGAAAGUCUUUUGCUUGAUGCAAACUAAAUACAACUUUCAACAACGGAUCUCUUGGCUCUC